This 359-nucleotide unclassified non-coding RNA is filed under the name Hevea brasiliensis (rubber tree). The record is from RNAcentral. Lineage: Eukaryota; Viridiplantae; Streptophyta; Magnoliopsida; Malpighiales; Euphorbiaceae.
AAGACAGGUAAACACACAACUGAGAAACCCGUGUUAGCAAAGGUUACUCCUAGUCCAAAGAAUCCAAUUUCUCCUCCCGCUGCAGUUACCACAACCAACUUGUCCUCAAAGGAAUCUUGUCCAAGAUGCAAGCAGGGAUUCUUUUGUUCAGAUCAUGGCUCACUAGCCAAGCAAGCUUCGCCGGCUAAAAGUUAUGUGGGUACAGAAGGGUCCUCUGCACCGUCAAAGAAGGUAGUUGACAUAAACGAGCCCCAGACCUGCAGGAAUCGGGGGUGUGGUAAAACUUUUAAAGAAAAGGAUAAUCAUGAAGCUGCCUGUAGUUACCAUCCCGGGCCUGCUGUUUUUCAUGAUCGGUUGAG